GAUGAAGAACGUAGCGAAAUGCGAUAAGUAAUGUGAAUUGCAGAAUUCCGUGAAUCAUCGAAUCUUUGAACGCACAUUGCGCCCCCUGGCAUUCCGGGGGGCAUGCCUGUCCGAGCGUCAUUUCUGCCCUCAAGCACGGCUUGUGUGUUGGGUGUGGUCCCCCGGGGACCUGCCCGAAAGGCAGCGGCGACGUCCGUCUGGUCCUCGAGCGUAUGGGGCUCUGUCACUCGCUCGGGAAGGACCUGCGGGGGUUGGUCACCACUAUAUAUUACCACAGUUGACCUCGGAUCAGGUAGGAGUUACCCGCUGAACUUAAGCAUAUCAAUAAGCGGAGGA
Molecule: unclassified non-coding RNA, 336 nt
Filed under: soil metagenome
Description: partial contains 5.8S ribosomal RNA, internal transcribed spacer 2, and large subunit ribosomal RNA
Rfam family: 5.8S ribosomal RNA (bases 1-120)
Source: RNAcentral